This 404-nucleotide ribosomal RNA is filed under the name Brevundimonas sp. RNAcentral's name for it is "bacterial SSU rRNA". It matches the Rfam family "Bacterial small subunit ribosomal RNA", at positions 59 to 509 of the family's 1533-position model. The record is from RNAcentral. Lineage: Bacteria; Pseudomonadati; Pseudomonadota; Alphaproteobacteria; Caulobacterales; Caulobacteraceae.
CAGUCGAACGGACCCUUCGGGGUUAGUGGCGGACGGGUGAGUAACACGUGGGAACGUGCCUUUAGGUUCGGAAUAGCUCCUGGAAACGGGUGGUAAUGCCGAAUGUGCCCUUCGGGGGAAAGAUUUAUCGCCUUUAGAGCGGCCCGCGUCUGAUUAGCUAGUUGGUGAGGUAACGGCUCACCAAGGCGACGAUCAGUAGCUGGUCUGAGAGGAUGACCAGCCACACUGGGACUGAGACACGGCCCAGACUCCUACGGGAGGCAGCAGUGGGGAAUCUUGCGCAAUGGGCGAAAGCCUGACGCAGCCAUGCCGCGUGAAUGAUGAAGGUCUUAGGAUUGUAAAAUUCUUUCACCGGGGACGAUAAUGACGGUACCCGGAGAAGAAGCCCCGGCUAACUUCGUGCC